RNAcentral lists this ribosomal RNA (610 nucleotides) under Moolgarda cunnesius (longarm mullet). Its description in RNAcentral is "partial large subunit ribosomal RNA". It matches the Rfam family "Bacterial large subunit ribosomal RNA", at positions 1797 to 2608 of the family's 2925-position model. The record is from RNAcentral. Lineage: Eukaryota; Metazoa; Chordata; Actinopteri; Mugiliformes; Mugilidae.
CGCCUGUUUAUCAAAAACAUCGCCUCUUGCUAACCCUGUAUAAGAGGUCCCGCCUGCCCAGUGACCCCUAAGUUCAACGGCCGCGGUAUUUUGACCGCGCGAAGGUAGCGCAAUCACUUGUCCCUUAAAUGAGGACCUGUAUGAAUGGCAUAACGAGGGCUUAACUGUCUCCUUUUCUCAGUCAAUGAAAUUGAACUUCCCGUGCAGAAGCGGGAAUCCAAACAUAAGACGAGAAGACCCUAUGGAGCUUUAGACUUUACAACAGAUCAUUUCAACUACUCCCACUAAAGGAAGUAAUAACUAUUGAACCCUGUCCCCUGUCUUCGGUUGGGGCGACCACGGGGAAGAAAAAAUCCCCCACGUGGACCAGAAGUACCCCUAAUUACUUCCACAGCUACGAGCCACAGCUCUAAUGCACAGAAUCUCUGACCUUGAGAUCCGGCAGAGCCGAUCAACGGACCAAGUUACCCUAGGGAUAACAGCGCAAUCCCCUUUAAGAGUCCCUAUCGCCAAGGGGGUUUACGACCUCGAUGUUGGAUCAAGACAUCCUAAUGGUGCAACCGCUAUUAAGGGUUCGUUUGUUCAACGAUUAAAGUCUUACGUGAUCUGA